Molecule: ribosomal RNA, 503 nt
Filed under: uncultured bacterium
Lineage: Bacteria
Description: partial 16S ribosomal RNA
Rfam family: Bacterial small subunit ribosomal RNA
Source: RNAcentral
AACGAACGCUGGCGGCGUGCCUAACACAUGCAAGUCGAACGAAAAAGGGGCUUCGGCUCCGGGUGAAGUGGCGCACGGGUGAGUAACACGUGGGUAACCUGCCUCUAAGAUUGGUAUAACUCGUCGAAAGAUGAGCUAAUACCGAAUAAGACCACAGUUCCCGCCGUAACAGGGGUCAGAGAUAUCCUCUGCUUGCGAGCUAUCACUUGGAGAUUGAGCUGCGCACCAUUGGCUAGGUUGUAGGGGAACGGCCUAGCAAGGCAAAGAGGGUUAGCUGGUCGGAGAGGAUGGUCAGCCCCACUGGAACUGAGACACGGUCCAGACUCCUACGGGAGGCAGCAGUGGGGAAUAGUGCGCAAUGGGCGAAAGAUUGACGAAGCAACGCCGCGUGAGGGAUGAAGGCCUUCGGGUCGUAAAGCUCUGUCGGGAGGAACGAAUGCUCCUGAGGUUAACAGCCUCGGGAGGUGACGGUACCUUGAAAGGAAGCACCGGCUAACUCUGUG